This 455-nucleotide ribosomal RNA is filed under the name uncultured Sporobacterium sp. RNAcentral describes it as "bacterial SSU rRNA". It matches the Rfam family "Bacterial small subunit ribosomal RNA", at positions 8 to 483 of the family's 1533-position model. The record is from RNAcentral. Lineage: Bacteria; Bacillati; Bacillota; Clostridia; Lachnospirales; Lachnospiraceae.
AGAGUUUGAUCCUGGCUCAGGAUGAACGCUGGCGGCGUGCCUAACACAUGCAAGUCGAGCGGAUAUGUAGCAAUACAUAUUAGCGGCGGACGGGUGAGUAACACGUGGAUAAUCUACACACUACAGGGGGAUAACAAUGAGAAAUCAUUGCUAAGACUCCAUAAGCUCACACCAAGGCAUCUUGGAGUGAGAAACGAUUUAUCGGUAGUGUAUGAGUCCGCGCCUGAUUAGCUAGUUGGAGAGGUAAAAGCUCACCAAGGCGACGAUCAGUAGCCGGCCUGAGAGGGUGAACGGCCACAUUGGGACUGAGACACGGCCCAAACUCCUACGGGAGGCAGCAGUGGGGAAUAUUGCACAAUGGGGGAAACCCUGAUGCAGCAACGCCGCGUGAAGGAAGAAGGUUUUCGGAUCGUAAACUUCUAUCGACAGGGAAGAAAAAAAUGACGGUACCGAAU